GGGUCACUCGGGGUCACUCGGGGUCACACCGGGGGUCCCUCGGGGUCCGUGGUCACUCAGGGUCACUCGGGGUCACUCGGGGUCACUCAGGGUCGCUCAGGGUCACACUCGGGGUCGGUGGUCACUCGGGGUCACUCGAGGUCACUCGGGGUCACUGGGGGCCACAGCCGGGGCCGGUGGCCGCGCCGUCGGCG
Molecule: long non-coding RNA, 194 nt
Organism: Oenanthe melanoleuca
Lineage: Eukaryota; Metazoa; Chordata; Aves; Passeriformes; Muscicapidae
Exons: 3
Source: RefSeq, a predicted model, not a curated record